AAGAAACUAACAAGGAUUCCCCUAGUAACUGCGAGUGAAGCGGGAAAAGCUCAAAUUUAAAAUCUGGCGGUCUUUGGCCGUCCGAGUUGUAAUCUAGAGAAGCGUCACCCGCGCUGGACCGUGUACAAGUCUCCUGGGAUGGAGCGUCAUAGAGGGUGAGAAUCCCGUCUCUGACACGGACUACCAGGGCUUUGUGGUGCGCUCUCAAAGAGUCGAGUUGUUUGGGAAUGCAGCUCUAAAUGGGUGGUAAAUUCCAUCUAAAGCUAAAUAUUGGCGAGAGACCGAUAGCGAACAAGUACCGUGAGGGAAAGAUGAAAAGAACUUUGGAAAGAGAGUUAAACAGUACGUGAAAUUGCUGAAAGGGAAACGCUUGAAGUCAGUCGCGUUGGCCGGGGAUCAGCCUCGCUCUUGCGUGGUGUAUUUCCUGGUUGACGGGUCAGCAUCAAUUUUGACCGCUGGAAAAAGAUUUAGGGAAUGUGGCAUCUUCGGAUGUGUUAUAGCCCUUUUUCAUAUACGGCGGUUGGGAUUGAGGAACUCAGCACGCCGCAAGGCCGGGUUUCGACCACGUUCGUGCUUAGGAUGCUGGCAUAAUGGCUUUAAUCGACCCGUCUUGAAACACGGACCAAGGAGUCUAACAUGCCUGCGAGUGUUUGGGUGGAAAACCCGAGCGCGUAAUGAAAGUGAAAGUUGAGAUCCCUGUCGCGGGGAGCAUCGACGCCCGGACCAGAACUUUUGGGACGGAUCUGCGGUAGAGCAUGUAUGUUGGGACCCGAAAGAUGGUGAACUAUGCCUGAAUAGGGUGAAGCCAGAGGAAACUCUGGUGGAGGCUCGUAGCGAUUCUGACGUGCAAAUCGAUCGUCAAAUUUGGGUAUAGGGGCGAAAGACUAAUCGAACCAUC
This 898-nucleotide ribosomal RNA is filed under the name Tulostoma subsquamosum. RNAcentral describes it as "eukaryotic LSU rRNA". It matches the Rfam family "Eukaryotic large subunit ribosomal RNA", at positions 59 to 944 of the family's 3401-position model. The record is from RNAcentral. Lineage: Eukaryota; Fungi; Basidiomycota; Agaricomycetes; Agaricales; Agaricaceae.